This 526-nucleotide ribosomal RNA is filed under the name uncultured bacterium. RNAcentral describes it as "bacterial SSU rRNA". It matches the Rfam family "Bacterial small subunit ribosomal RNA", at positions 777 to 1308 of the family's 1533-position model. The record is from RNAcentral.
AAUAGAUACCCGGGUAGUCCACGCCGUAAACGAUGAGUGCUAGGUGUCGGGGGUCCUACCCUCGGUGCCGAAGGUAACCCAUUAAGCACUCCGCCUGGGGAGUACGGCCGCAAGGCUGAAGCUCAAAGGAAUUGACGGGAGCCCGCACAAGCGGUGGAGCAUGUGGUUUAAUUCGAAGCAACGCGAAGAACCUUACCAGGGCUUGACAUCCCGCUGACCGCUCCAGAGAUGGAGCUUCCCUUCGGGGCAGCGGUGACAGGUGGUGCAUGGUUGUCGUCAGCUCGUGUCGUGAGAUGUUGGGUUCAGUCCCGCAACGAGCGCAACCCUUAUCGCUAGUUGCCAGCAUUCAGUUGGGCACUCUAGCGAGACAGCCGGUGAAAGCCGGAGGAAGGUGGGGAUGACGUCAAAUCAUCAUGCCCCUUAUGUCCUGGGCUACACACGUGCUACAAUGGCCGGUACAAUGGGUCGCAACCCGCGAGGGGGAGCUAAUCCCACAAAACCGGUCUCAGUUCGGAUCGCAGGCUGC